AACGCACAUUGCGCCCUUUGGUAUUCCUUAGGGCAUGCCUGUUCGAGCGUCAUCUAACCCCUCAAGCACUGCUUGGUGUUGGGCGUUUGUCCCCCCUCUGGUGUGGGACUCGCCUAGAAUUCAUUGGCAGCCUCCGUAUCGGGCUAUCGAGCGCAGCAGAUCAGCGCCUCGGGCCCGGCAUGCAGGCGUCCAGGAAGCUACUCCAACCUUUUGACCUCGGAUCAGGUAGGGAUACCCGCUGAACUUAA
RNAcentral lists this unclassified non-coding RNA (248 nucleotides) under uncultured fungus. RNAcentral describes it as "partial contains 5.8S ribosomal RNA, internal transcribed spacer 2, and large subunit ribosomal RNA". The record is from RNAcentral. Lineage: Eukaryota; Fungi.